AUUGAACGCUGGCGGCAGGCUUAACACAUGCAAGUCGAGCGGGGGAAGGUAGCUUGCUACCGGACCUAGCGGCGGACGGGUGAGUAAUGCUUAGGAAUCUGCCUAUUAGUGGGGGACAACAUCUCGAAAGGGAUGCUAAUACCGCAUACGUCCUACGAGAGAAAGCAGGGGAUCUUCGGACCUUGCGCUAAUAGAUGAGCCUAAGUCGGAUUAGCUAGUUGGUGGGGUAAAGGCCUACCAAGGCGACGAUCUGUAGCGGGUCUGAGAGGAUGAUCCGCCACACUGGGACUGAGACACGGCCCAGACUCCUACGGGAGGCAGCAGUGGGGAAUAUUGGACAAUGGGGGGAACCCUGAUCCAGCCAUGCCGCGUGUGUGAAGAAGGCCUUAUGGUUGUAAAGCACUUUAAGCGAAGAGGAGGCUACUCUAGUUAAUACCUAGGGAUAGUGGACGUUACUCGCAGAAUAAGCACCGGCUAACUCUGUGCUAGCCGCCGCGGUAA
Molecule: ribosomal RNA, 501 nt
Filed under: uncultured bacterium
Lineage: Bacteria
Description: partial 16S ribosomal RNA
Rfam family: Bacterial small subunit ribosomal RNA
Source: RNAcentral